RNAcentral lists this ribosomal RNA (1040 nucleotides) under Nasikabatrachus sahyadrensis (pig-nosed frog). Its description in RNAcentral is "partial 16S ribosomal RNA". It matches the Rfam family "Bacterial large subunit ribosomal RNA", at positions 943 to 2609 of the family's 2925-position model. Lineage: Eukaryota; Metazoa; Chordata; Amphibia; Anura; Nasikabatrachidae. The record is from RNAcentral.
CCCUAAUAUAACCAAAUACCCUCCCACAGUUAAGAGCCAUUCAAACAAGGUACAGCUUGCUUGAACCAGGAUACAACCUACCCCUAAGGGUAACGAGCUCCCGCAAAACAGCCAAGUAGGCCUAAAAGCAGCCACCUUCACAAAUAGCGUCACAGCUUACCCGCUACGCACCCCCAAUAACAAUAAUACCCCCGGAACCCUUAACCCCUAUUGAGCGAUUCUAUACCUGUAUAGAAGUCAUUAUGUUAAAACUAGUAACAAGAGGAUAGCCCCUCUCCUUAAUGCAAGCAUAAAUCAGCAUUGACAAACUACUGAUAAUUAACGUCCCGAGCCCAUAGCAGCAACACACACCAGAAAACCCUACUACAAGCAGCGUUAACCUUACACAAGAGCAUUACAGUGAAAGAUUGAAAGGAGAAGAAGGAACUCGGCAAACCUUAACCCCGCCUGUUUACCAAAAACAUCGCCUCUUGACAAAACAUAAGAGGUCCCGCCUGCCCAGUGACACAGUUUAACGGCCGCGGUAUCUUAACCGUGCGAAGGUAGCGUAAUCACUUGUUCCUUAAAUGGGGACUAGUAUGAAUGGCAUCACGAGGGUUACACUGUCUCCUCCCCCUAAUCAGUGAAACUGAUCUCCCCGUGAAGAAGCGGGGAUAACACUAUAAGACGAGAAGACCCUAUGGAGCUUUAGAUCCGACGGCACAUGUUAACAUACACUUAAUCCCAGGAAACACAACCCAAACUACAUCCCUGCCGCCUACCUUCGGUUGGGGCGACCGCGGAGAACAAAACACCCUCCGCACUGAAAAGACACAGUCUUUAACCAAAAGAUACAUCUUUAAGUACCAAUAAAUUGACACCCAUUGACCCAGUCCACUGAUCAAUGAACCAAGUUACCCUAGGGAUAACAGCGCAAUCCAUUUCAAGAGCCCCUAUCGACAAAUGGGUUUACGACCUCGAUGUUGGAUCAGGGUAUCCCAGUGGUGCAGCCGCUACUAAAGGUUUGUUUGUUCAACAAUUAAAACCCUACGUGAUCUGAG